This 501-nucleotide ribosomal RNA is filed under the name uncultured bacterium. RNAcentral describes it as "partial 16S ribosomal RNA". It matches the Rfam family "Bacterial small subunit ribosomal RNA", at positions 29 to 523 of the family's 1533-position model. The record is from RNAcentral.
AUUGAACGCUGGCGGCAUGCCUUACACAUGCAAGUCGAACGGCAGCACGGGUGCUUGCACCUGGUGGCGAGUGGCGAACGGGUGAGUAAUACAUCGGAACGUACCUUAUCGUGGGGGAUAACGCAGCGAAAGCUGUGCUAAUACCGCAUACGCCCUGAGGGGGAAAGCGGGGGAUCGCAAGACCUCGCGCGAUUAGAGCGGCCGAUGCCUGAUUAGCUUGUUGGGGGGGUAAAAGCCCACCAAGGCGAAGAUCAGUAGCUGGUCUGAGAGGACGAUCGGCCACACUGGGACUGAGACACAGCCCAGACUCCUACGGGAGGCAGCAGUGGGGAAUUUUGGACAAUGGGGGCAACCCUGAUCCAGCUAUGCCGCGUGAGUGAAGAAGGCCUUCGGGUUGUAAAGCUCUUUUGUCAGGGAAGAAACACCGGCUCUAACACAGUCCGGGAAUGACGGUACCUGAAGAAUAAGCACCGGCUAACUACGUGCCAGCCGCCGCCGUAA